GUCUAUGGUCAUGCCACCCUGAACGAGCCCGAUCCCGUUUGAUCUCAGAAGCUAAGCAGGAUCGGGCCUGGUUAGUACUUGGAUGGGAGACCACCUAGGAAGACCAGGUGCUGUAGGCG
Pteropus alecto (black flying fox) is the source of this 119-nucleotide non-coding RNA. The record is from Rfam. Lineage: Eukaryota; Metazoa; Chordata; Mammalia; Chiroptera; Pteropodidae.